RNAcentral lists this ribosomal RNA (114 nucleotides) under uncultured bacterium. Its description in RNAcentral is "partial 16S ribosomal RNA". It matches the Rfam family "Bacterial small subunit ribosomal RNA", at positions 1360 to 1482 of the family's 1533-position model. The record is from RNAcentral.
CGGUGAAUACGUUCCCGGACCUUGUUCACACCGCCCGUCAAGCCAUGGAAGCUGGGUGUACCUAAAGUCGAUAACCGCAAGGAGUCGCCUAGGGUAAAACUAGUAACUGGGGCU